AGCAGCCGCCACGGUAAAACGUAGGCGGCAAGCGUUGUCCGGAAUUAUUGGGCGUAAAGGGAGCGCAGGUGGGACGGUAAGUCCGUCUUAAAAGGCAGGGGCUCAGCCCCUGUAAGGGAUGGAAACUAUCGAUCUUGAGUGCCGGAGAGGAAAGCGGAAUUCCCAGUGUAGCGGUGAAAUGCGUAGAUAUUGGGAAGAACACCAGUGGCGAAGGCGGCUUUCUGGACGGCAACUGACACUGAGGCUCGAAAGCCAGGGGAGCGAACGGGAUUAGAUACCCGAGUAGUCCCUGUCUCUUAUACA
Molecule: ribosomal RNA, 303 nt
Filed under: uncultured bacterium
Lineage: Bacteria
Description: partial 16S ribosomal RNA
Rfam family: Bacterial small subunit ribosomal RNA
Source: RNAcentral